GCCAUCAUAGUUCUGUGGAAGAACACUGGUUUUGUAAACUAAGGAUCGUGAGUUUGAUUUUCACUGUUGGCU
Molecule: non-coding RNA, 72 nt
Organism: Trichonephila clavipes
Lineage: Eukaryota; Metazoa; Arthropoda; Arachnida; Araneae; Nephilidae
Source: the annotation of a GenBank genome assembly